RNAcentral lists this ribosomal RNA (279 nucleotides) under Mesodinium pulex. RNAcentral's name for it is "partial Bacterial large subunit ribosomal RNA". It matches the Rfam family "Bacterial large subunit ribosomal RNA", at positions 823 to 1098 of the family's 2925-position model. Lineage: Eukaryota; Ciliophora; Litostomatea; Cyclotrichida; Mesodiniidae. The record is from RNAcentral.
GAAAGGCCAAUCAAACCGGGAAAUAGCUCGUACUCCCCGAAAUGUUUUUAGGAACAGCGUCGGUGUUGAGUCUUGUCGAGGUAGAGCUACCAAUUGGAUGCGGGGGAGUCACAUCCUACCAAAUUCAGAUGAACUCCGAAUGCGAUAAGAUAUAACCGGCAGUGAGGGCUCGGGUGCUAAGGUCCGAGUCCAAGAGGGAAAGAACCCAGAUCUACAGCUAAGGUCUCUAAAUCUAUACUAAGUUGAACUAAGGAAGUCUGACUGCAGAGACAGCCAGGA